GAUUAUGGCUCAGGAUGAACGCUGGCGGCGUGCCUAACACAUGCAAGUCGAGCGAUUCUCUCGGGGAAGAGCGGCGGACGGGUGAGUAACGCGUGGGUAACCUGCCCUAUACACACGGAUAACGUACCGAAAGGUACGCUAAUACGAGAUAAUAUGCUUUAGUCGCAUGGCUGAAGUAUCAAAGCUCCGGCGGUAUAGGAUGGACCCGCGUCUGAUUAGCUAGUUGGUAAGGUAAUGGCUUACCAAGGCGACGAUCAGUAGCCGACCUGAGAGGGUGAUCGGCCACAUUGGAACUGAGACACGGUCCAAACUCCUACGGGAGGCAGCAGUGGGGAAUAUUGCACAAUGGGCGAAAGCCUGAUGCCAGCAACGCCGCGUGAGCGAUGAAGGCCUUCGGGUCGUAAAGCUCUGUCCUCAAGGAAGAUAAUGACGGUACUUGAGGAGGAAGCCCCGGCUAACUACGUGCCAGCCGCCGC
This 476-nucleotide ribosomal RNA is filed under the name uncultured bacterium. RNAcentral describes it as "bacterial SSU rRNA". It matches the Rfam family "Bacterial small subunit ribosomal RNA", at positions 15 to 518 of the family's 1533-position model. The record is from RNAcentral.